Molecule: non-coding RNA, 442 nt
Organism: Chiloscyllium plagiosum (whitespotted bambooshark)
Lineage: Eukaryota; Metazoa; Chordata; Chondrichthyes; Orectolobiformes; Hemiscylliidae
Source: RefSeq, a predicted model, not a curated record
UAAUAGGCAACAAUUUAUUAUCACGUCUUGUGACAAGGACCUCCUGCAAAGUUAUUGUUGGAGCAUCAACUAUGUUUACUAUAUUUAUUGAGUUAGAUGGUGGGAUAGAAAACCACUUAUCCAAGUUGCUCUUAAAUGUAUGCUUGAGUGACUUGUAAUAUUAAAGAUGAAAUGAAUAGAUGAUUCAAGUAUUCACAAGUCAUUUAUUCAUACUGCACAAAAGUAUAGCACAGAAAAACUUCCAGUUUUGCAACAGGUCAAAAGACAAGGACUUUUAUAUAAAAAGUAAACAAUUAAAAGGCACAGAAUUAAAAGUUACAGGUGCAUAAUUGGUUAACAGACAGAAUGCAGACAGCAGCGGUCAAUUACUUAUCACAUAGGAUGGUAGCAUAAUAUAACCCAGGAGUUUUGUCAAGAUCGCAUGCUAUUUUUCAGUACAAAU